AAAGUACUCCCUCCGUCCCAAAAUUCUUGUCUUAGAUUUGUCUAGAUACGGAUGUAUCAAGUCGAUACAUCGGUAUCUAGAGAAAUCUAAGACAAGAAAUAUGGGACAGAGGGAGUAGUUG
This is a non-coding RNA of Triticum aestivum (bread wheat), 121 nucleotides long. The record is from Rfam. NCBI's taxonomy places the organism in Eukaryota, Viridiplantae, Streptophyta, Magnoliopsida, Poales, Poaceae.